ACGCUCGACACCUACUGGAGGCAGCAGUGAGGAAUAUUGGUCAAUGGGCGCUAGCCUGAACCAGCCAAGUAGCGUGAAGGAUGAAGGCUCUAUGGGUCGGUAAACUUCUUUUAUAUAAGAAUAAAGUGCAGUAUGUAUACUGUUUUGUAUGUAUUAUAUGAAUAAGGAUCGGCUAACUCCGUGCCAGCAGCCGCGGUAAUCUGAGCGGGCUGGCAAGGC
RNAcentral lists this ribosomal RNA (219 nucleotides) under uncultured bacterium. RNAcentral's name for it is "partial 16S ribosomal RNA". It matches the Rfam family "Bacterial small subunit ribosomal RNA", at positions 328 to 539 of the family's 1533-position model. The record is from RNAcentral.